Molecule: long non-coding RNA, 353 nt
Organism: Dermochelys coriacea (leatherback sea turtle)
Lineage: Eukaryota; Metazoa; Chordata; Testudines; Dermochelyidae
Exons: 3
Source: RefSeq, a predicted model, not a curated record
CGGCCGCUCUUCGGAGGGUUUGACUCUAUGGUUGAGGCGCGCCAAGAUUAUGUCACCACGAGCCUGUUUGGGUCACGUGGGUGAGCGCUGAUGUUUGUUUGUGUGGGGUGCACAGCGAUGAGGCUGUAGUUGGGCGCGCGCCAGGCGGAGCGGCGGCUGUUUGGCUGGGCUGUGAGCUGUCUAGGGCAGGGGUGUCUCCGUGCCCGGGGGAGCCCAGCUCGAGUUACUGGCGGGUUCUCGGCCGGAAAGGAGCAGCUUGUCUCUGUAGGUGGAGAAGGUGCAAACUACAAAGUAAUGUACUGUGACUAUGUGACAUACAUGAUGUGACUGAAAACUCUGAAACUAUAGAAAAU